UUUUAGAAAAAGCUAUAAAUUUCUUUUGUAUAAGACAAGACCUGUGCAAGGAUUUAAAUCACUUGCAAUGUACUAAGAAUACAUGAAAGGAAAAGACAAGAUCCAAACAGAGAAGCUGAAAAUAACUUGGCAUCUGAACAUUGUUCCUUUGAGCAAAUGUCACCAGGAAGCCAGAAAGUGCUCAAGAAGACUGAAGAAUCAGAAAAUUUGGCACCUGAGAUUCUUCCACACCAUAUCAGAAGAUCUUUGGGAAUAUUAUGGCCUGCAGGCAAAAAGGCAGUUUAGCAAUGCAAAAGACUGAAUUUUUAAAGGGCAGUUUUUAUGGCAAAGAACUGGGAAAAUAUGCAUAAGCAAAAAAAGGCCUUGUCAUCAGGAAACCUUCAUUCUAAUAGAGGAAAAUUGCAAAUAAAAUAGAAUUGAAAGGGCA
RNAcentral lists this long non-coding RNA (427 nucleotides) under Monodelphis domestica (gray short-tailed opossum). Its description in RNAcentral is "lncRNA (ENSMODG00000047468.1)". The record is from RNAcentral. Lineage: Eukaryota; Metazoa; Chordata; Mammalia; Didelphimorphia; Didelphidae.